Molecule: transfer RNA, 72 nt
Filed under: bacterium
Lineage: Bacteria
Description: tRNA-Gln
Rfam family: tRNA
About the family: Transfer RNA (tRNA) molecules are approximately 80 nucleotides in length.
Source: RNAcentral
UGAGGUGUCGUCAAGCGGUAAGACGCAAGAUUUUGAAUCUUGUACGCGUAGGUUCGAAUCCUUCCACCUCAG